Molecule: ribosomal RNA, 563 nt
Filed under: Streptomyces sp. 434F02
Lineage: Bacteria; Bacillati; Actinomycetota; Actinomycetes; Kitasatosporales; Streptomycetaceae
Description: bacterial SSU rRNA
Rfam family: Bacterial small subunit ribosomal RNA
Source: RNAcentral
UAGUGGCGAACGGGUGAGUAACACGUGGGCAAUCUGCCCUUCACUCUGGGACAAGCCCUGGAAACGGGGUCUAAUACCGGAUAACACUCUUCCCUGCAUGGGGGAGGGUUGAAAGCUCCGGCGGUGGAGGAUGAGCCCGCGGCCUAUCAGCUUGUUGGUGGGGUGAUGGCCUACCAAGGCGACGACGGGUAGCCGGCCUGAGAGGGCGACCGGCCACACUGGGACUGAGACACGGCCCAGACUCCUACGGGAGGCAGCAGUGGGGAAUAUUGCACAAUGGGCGGAAGCCUGAUGCAGCGACGCCGCGUGAGGGAUGACGGCCUUCGGGUUGUAAACCUCUUUCAGCAGGGAAGAAGCGUGAGUGACGGUACCUGCAGAAGAAGCGCCGGCUAACUACGUGCCAGCAGCCGCGGUAAUACGUAGGGCGCAAGCGUUGUCCGGAAUUAUUGGGCGUAAAGAGCUCGUAGGCGGCUUGUCGCGUCGGAUGUGAAAGCCCGGGGCUCAACCCCGGGUCUGCAUUCGAUACGGGCAGGCUGGAGUGUGGUAGGGGAGAUCGGANUCCU